This is a long non-coding RNA of Rosa rugosa (rugosa rose), 2103 nucleotides long. RefSeq lists it as uncharacterized. The record is from RefSeq and is a predicted model, not a curated record. The transcript has 8 exons. NCBI's taxonomy places the organism in Eukaryota, Viridiplantae, Streptophyta, Magnoliopsida, Rosales, Rosaceae.
GCCAAAAUGUGCUUCAGACGACACACUUCAGACGACAUAAGUUUUGUUUUAUGUCGUCUGAGUUUUUCAGACGACAUAAUUUUUUUUUGUGUUGUCUGAAUAUAGACUAAAACCAUACUCGUUCAAUUUGAAAAAAUGGUGAGCAUUCAGACAACACAUUUGUGUAGUUGUAAAAGAUGAUGAUUUCCUAUCUCAAAUGCGGAGGGAUAUCCAAAAUUUGAUCAAGUACUUUUCCCUCUCAAAUAGCCGAACUCUAGUUGACUAGAAAAUGUUGUGACAUUUAGACAACAUUUAAAUGUCGUCUGAGUGUGGAGCUUGUUUUAAAAUUUUUGAAGUUAUUUUGACUUGUGCUUUUUUACAUAGAUCCCUCGUAAUUAAAUCAUUUUCUGUCCUUCUCACUCCAACACCAGCCCGCGCGCUCUCUCUUUCUCACUCAGCUCGACCUAGAACCCGCGAAACUGGAAAACUCAAACACCAGCCUCUCUCCUUCUCACUCAGCUCUCUCAGAUCUCUCAGAUCUCGAUUCUCACUCUCUCCUCUCUCCUUCAUCUUCUCACUCUCUCGAUUCUUCUUGGUCUCUCCUUCUUCUUCUUAGCCUCUACUUCAUCUUUCGCGACCGGAUUAGUGGACCUCCCCAGCAACAACAGAGCUGUUUUUAAUUCGGAUAUUGGUAAGCAAUUUAGGGUUUCAAUCGUUUUUUAGUUUAGGGUUUCGAUUGGGUUUAAUCCUAGAUCGAUUUUAGGGUUUUAUCUGCAAAUUUUAGGUUUGCUUAUUAUCCAAAAUUUCGAUUUUAGUUGAUUUCGAUUAGGUUUUUCUUCUAUUUGGGGAUGGGGUGAUUGAAAUGGAUAUAGCUAUAUUGGGGUUUUGUCUUGGGGGUUUCUCUUCGAUUUAGUGCUGUGGUUUUCCUUCGGUUGAAAUGGAUUUAUGUGUUGGUGUUUUAUUUUCCAUGUUGUUUGACAAGAACUCUUCCUUCUUUCAAUUAAAACUCAUUUGGGUUUUGGGGUUUUGAGUUUGGAUAAUAGUUCUUCUGUUGUAUCAUGUUUCUUCUAUUUUGUUGGCCUUGAUAGGGAAACUUGGUGCUACAAAAGGAUUUGCUGGGAAGGAUGUAGUGAUUGUGGCGGCCUACCGAACUGCCAUUUACAAAGCAAAGCGAGGCGGUUUUAAGGAUACUUUAGCUGAUGAUUUACUGGCACCUGUUUUGAAGAUAGGGAGGAUGAAGUUAGAGAAUUGGGGGAAAGAAGAGGAACUUCAAGUUUGGAUGCCCAAGGCUGAGAAGGUUGUAGGGAUUCAAGGGGGAUGCUUGGCCUACAUUACCUGUUGAAGAUCUUGCUGACUUUUCCUUCCAGACAACGCCUAUGUAUAUAGAUGUGGAUGAUGGGAGAACUAAGGCCACGAAUAUAGGACUGCAACAGGACUAUUGUCUUGUGCCAAGUGCCAAGAGAUUUUAUUCUCCUAUAUUCUUUCCUGACGAGGAAUCUAUCAAAGAAAGUGAUGGUCUUCUUCUCUUCUUGCAACUCAGUUUCUUGGAAACAAUAAGUUGAAUGGCACUCUCUCUGAAUCGAAAAGCUCAUCUCUUCUCAAUGUAUGAGUUAAAUGCCUCACUAAGCUGCACAUGAGUUAAAUGCAGACGAGUAGACCACCUACCAGAUUUGCAGCAAAGGUUUUUGUUCUUUUUUCUGCAAUAUCUUGUUCCUCAUUGAGAAUGAAGACUAGUUGCUCUUGUAAUAUGCAGCAUAAGUCUAUAUGGGGGUCAAGAAAGAUUUGUGUCUCUGCAAUGGGUCAGCAGGUUUGUGUCUCUGCAAGCUCACUGGCCAUUCCGUUUUCUAUGACCACUUCUAUGAUUUGGGUGAUUCCGUUCAUGAUCAGAUUGUGAAACUAGUACAGCAGUACAGCAGUAUAGCUAGCUAGUUCCUUUAUUAACUUGUGUCUAGUAGAAAUUUUUCAUUCAUUAAGCAUUUAGACUUGUCUUCAGAUCCAGAUUAGUAUAUAUGAGUUAUUUUGAACUGAAGUUCAUGAUUAAGUUUGUGUACAUGAGAUACUAGUGGAUUAAUGGAAAUUGCAAUGAAUGAUUUUGAAUGUGGAUUUUAUGGUUUCAUACUUUCA